RNAcentral lists this non-coding RNA (111 nucleotides) under Thiobacillus sp. RNAcentral describes it as "c-di-GMP sequence". It matches the Rfam family "c-di-GMP-I-GGC riboswitch aptamer". Lineage: Bacteria; Pseudomonadati; Pseudomonadota; Betaproteobacteria; Nitrosomonadales; Thiobacillaceae. The record is from RNAcentral.
CACGAACAGGGCAAACCCGCCGCGAGACGGGGACGCAAAGUUUCCGGUCUCGAUACCCAAGCCCUUCAGGGGUGCUCCCCACUGGCAGUCGAGACAGCGGGAUUGCCGGCA